This 227-nucleotide non-coding RNA is filed under the name Enterococcus aquimarinus. Its description in RNAcentral is "T-box sequence". It matches the Rfam family "T-box leader". From Rfam's summary of the family: Uncharged tRNA acts as the effector for transcription antitermination of genes in the T-box leader family. T-boxes are found upstream of many aminoacyl-tRNA synthetase genes and some amino acid biosynthetic genes usually in Gram-positive bacteria. Lineage: Bacteria; Bacillati; Bacillota; Bacilli; Lactobacillales; Enterococcaceae. The record is from RNAcentral.
CUAAAACCAAUGAAGAGAAGAGUAAUUUUUAUCCACUUUUGAAGAGAGGUUCCGUUUGGUGAAAGGGACUAAAGGGGAAAGAAUGAAGAUGGUCUCGGAGGUGAGUCGGCUGAUAGGUAAGCCGCUUCGAUUUGUUCGAUCGUUAUCUCGAACGCUAUUUCUUCGGAGAUAGUUGAGGAAAGCAUUGCUUUCAAACAAAGGUGGUACCACGAUGACUCGUCCUUUAU